AUUUGCAUCAGGCCUCUUUGGAAAAGUCAGAGCCUUCUAGGCAAGAAAGGAGAGGGAGAAAGUUGCCGGCCAAGUGAUGAAUAGGAAUAAAAGUCCUAAAAAUACAGGUUCUAUGGCAUAAUCAGAAAGCAAAAGGCCCAUAUUGAAGGAAACAGUGACGUCUAUGGCUUUUCCCAGAAGGAAGCCCAAACUUUGAUAAACCAAGUGAAGAUCUAGAUCUGCAGAGAAACACUAAUCCUGACUUAGGAGCCUGGUGUGAAAAAUCAGAAACUGCCAAGGGAAACUGUACUCAAAAGAGCACUGGAUAUGGGGUCAUUGAGGAGCAGGUGGACUCUCCACUGGGAAAUGGAAAACAUCAACUUUUAACCCUAGUUUUUCAACCAUAGCACUAUUGACAAUUAGGCCUAGGUAAUUCUUUGUUGC
Molecule: long non-coding RNA, 423 nt
Organism: Homo sapiens (human)
Lineage: Eukaryota; Metazoa; Chordata; Mammalia; Primates; Hominidae
Source: Ensembl